GACGAACGCUGGCGGCGUGCUUAACACAUGCAAGUCGAACGGAAAGGCCCUGCUUUUGUGGGGUGCUCGAGUGGCGAACGGGUGAGUAACACGUGAGUAACCUGCCCUUGACUUUGGGAUAACUUCAGGAAACUGGGGCUAAUACCGGAUAGGAGCUCCUGCUGCACGGUGGGGGUUGGAAAGUUUCGGCGGUUGGGGAUGGACUCGCGGCUUAUCAGCUUGUUGGUGGGGUAGUGGCUGACCAAGGCUUUGACGGGUAGCCGGCCUGAGAGGGUGACCGGCCACAUUGGGACUGAGGUACGCCCCAGACUCCUACGGGAGGCAGCAGUGGGGAAUAUUACACAAUGGGCGGAAGCCUGAUGCAGCAGCGCCGCGUGCGGGAUGACGGCCUUCGGGUUAUAAACCGCUUUCGCCUGUGACGAAGCGUGAGUGACGGUAAUGGGUAAAGAAGCACCGGCUAACUACGUG
This 468-nucleotide ribosomal RNA is filed under the name uncultured bacterium. RNAcentral's name for it is "partial 16S ribosomal RNA". It matches the Rfam family "Bacterial small subunit ribosomal RNA", at positions 28 to 507 of the family's 1533-position model. The record is from RNAcentral.